Molecule: ribosomal RNA, 491 nt
Filed under: uncultured bacterium
Lineage: Bacteria
Description: bacterial SSU rRNA
Rfam family: Bacterial small subunit ribosomal RNA
Source: RNAcentral
CUGGCUCAGGACAAACGCUGGCGGCGUGCCUAACACAUGCAAGUCGAACGGGGUAUUGAAAGCUUGCUUUGGAUAACUUAGUGGCGGACGGGUGAGUAACGCGUGAGCAAUCUGCCUUUCAGAGGGGGAUAACGUCUGGAAACGGACGCUAAUACCGCAUAAAACAGCAAGACGGCAUCGUCUAACUGUCAAAGGAGCAAUCCGCUGAAAGAUGAGCUCGCGUCUGAUUAGAUAGUUGGUGAGGUAAUGGCCCACCAAGUCUGCGAUCAGUAGCCGGACUGAGAGGUUGAACGGCCACAUUGGGACUGAGAGACGGCCCAGACUCCUACGGGAGGCAGCAGUGGGGAGUAUUGCGCAAUGGGGGGAAAAACCCCUGACGCAGCAACGCCGCGUGAAGGAAGAAGGUCUUCGGAUCGUAAACUUUUGUCUUCGGGGACGGUAAUGACGGUACCCGAGGAGGAAGCCACGGCUAACUACGUGCCAGCAGCUGC